Molecule: long non-coding RNA, 443 nt
Filed under: Elaeis guineensis (African oil palm)
Lineage: Eukaryota; Viridiplantae; Streptophyta; Magnoliopsida; Arecales; Arecaceae
Description: long non-coding RNA (EGUI_LNC029685)
Source: RNAcentral
UGGACUAGGCCACACCCCUACCCGAACCCGAUCCGAAAUAUAUUUUCGGACUUCAAAUCGGGUUUAGGCCCAAAAAUAUUUUAAGAUUUAAGAUCCGAGCCCGGCCCGAGCCCAAUUGAACUGGCCCAAGUUCGAGCCCGAGCCAGCCCAAGCUCGAGCCCGAGCCCACAACUCAACCCUCUCCCUUUCCCUCUCCCUCUAUUUCUCUCUCCCUCUACUUCUCUCUCCUUCCUUUCUCCCUCUCUCGAAACUUCCAUGCUCUCAGAGUGACUCCUACUCCAGUGCGAGCACUCCUGCUCUGUCUCCCUCUCCCUCUCCCUCUCAUGCUCUCUAGUCUUGUCACGCUUCGAUGAGAUCCCUCCUGCUCCUGUGCCUAUGCACUGCACAUCGAUUUUGGAGGUUUUCGAAUGGCCGUCGCAACUAGUGAUAGGUCGACGGCGUGG